This 253-nucleotide ribosomal RNA is filed under the name uncultured bacterium. Its description in RNAcentral is "partial 16S ribosomal RNA". It matches the Rfam family "Bacterial small subunit ribosomal RNA", at positions 524 to 776 of the family's 1533-position model. The record is from RNAcentral.
UACGGAGGGGGCUAGCGUUGUUCGGAAUUACUGGGCGUAAAGCGCGCGUAGGCGGAUCUGCAAGUCGGGGGUGAAAUCCCGAGGCUCAACCUCGGAACUGCCUUCGAUACUGCGGGUCUCGAGUCCGGGAGAGGUGAGUGGAAUUCCUAGUGUAGAGGUGAAAUUCGUAGAUAUUAGGAAGAACACCAGUGGCGAAGGCGGCUCACUGGCCCGGAACUGACGCUGAGACGCGAAAGCGUGGGGAGCAAACAGG